CUCCAAGGGAUGUGCCACAGAGAUGGUAAAGCCCAGAUACAUGGAGAAAUCCCACUGAUUGGAUGUCUGAAACCAGGUGCAGACAGAAGUUUUCUGGGACACUGAGGGAUAUAUCAAGGGCGCCUACUAUGGAAAUGAGGAAACGGUGGAUUUUCAUCAAGAGAAGCAGACAGGCUACCAGAGUAGUAGAUGUACAGCUGAGCAGAAUGACCAUCUGCAGAAGUCUCAGAGAGCAUCUGGAGAAUGAUGACAAAUAUAAAAUCCUACCCAUGACUCACGACUCCAUUUCAGCCCACAGUCAUGAGUCCCUGGCCACUAAGCCUGUGAAACCUAGAGUGAAGGAACCUUUCAAGUGGCUGGGUGAUUGGAAUAAUAAGAGCUACAGUAUAAUCUAACUGGACUUUGGGAUAUUAAAA
This 416-nucleotide long non-coding RNA is filed under the name Numida meleagris (helmeted guineafowl). Its description in RNAcentral is "lncRNA (ENSNMEG00000019564.1)". The record is from RNAcentral. Lineage: Eukaryota; Metazoa; Chordata; Aves; Galliformes; Numididae.